RNAcentral lists this ribosomal RNA (182 nucleotides) under Flavobacterium sp. LMO9. Its description in RNAcentral is "partial 16S ribosomal RNA". It matches the Rfam family "Bacterial small subunit ribosomal RNA", at positions 1 to 182 of the family's 1533-position model. The record is from RNAcentral. Lineage: Bacteria; Pseudomonadati; Bacteroidota; Flavobacteriia; Flavobacteriales; Flavobacteriaceae.
UAUACGAUGAAGAGUUUGAUCCUGGCUCAGGAUGAACGCUAGCGGCAGGCCUAACACAUGCAAGUCGAGGGGUAGAGUUCUUCGGAACUUGAGACCGGCGCACGGGUGCGUAACGCGUAUGCAAUCUACCUUAUACAGGGGAAUAGCCCAGAGAAAUUUGGAUUAAUGCCCCAUAGUAUUAU